Molecule: long non-coding RNA, 446 nt
Filed under: Equus caballus (horse)
Lineage: Eukaryota; Metazoa; Chordata; Mammalia; Perissodactyla; Equidae
Description: lncRNA (ENSECAG00000058745.1)
Source: RNAcentral
CGUCCCACACAAUGUGAAGAUGAGACCACUGUGUGUCUAAAUGAGGUCUGCAGGAUGGGCACCCUCCAGGCAGGUGUGAUGGAGAAGCUGACAGAGUCCAUGGUCCCAGCCUUCCCGGGUAGAGUCAUCUGCAAUGUCACCACAUUUGUGUGCAACUACUCAGCCUUCAACACUUCCCACCAGGUCCUGGACCAACUGUUUACCAGAUCUACAGCAGGCUCCUGAUUCCCUGUGGAAGCAUCUGGCAACGUGGCUGGGCAGCCAAUGAUGCCAAAGUCCGGGGACCUGGCUUAUCUGUCAAAUUCUUGGGGGCUGUCUGGUCAGGCUCAGCAAUGGUUGUCCAGAAACCGCCCCAUGUGUGGGCAGGCCAUGUGGCAGGAACUGUGGGCCUUGGCCCAUGGAAAAGAGGUGACAGUGUAUCAUGUUCCUGGCCAUAUGCCUCUGAC